CGGUAAUACCAGCUCUCCGAGUGGUGAGGACGAUUAUUGGGCCUGAAGCAUCCGUAGCCGGCUGGGCAAGUCCCCUGUUAAAUCCAGCGAUCUAAUCGUUGGCCUGCGGGAAAUACUGUUUGGCUAGGGGGCGAGAGAGGCCAACGGUAUUUCCGGGGUAGGGGUGAAAUCUUAUAAUCCCGGGAGGACCACCAGUGGCGAAGGCUGUCGG
Molecule: ribosomal RNA, 211 nt
Filed under: uncultured crenarchaeote
Lineage: Archaea; Thermoproteati; Thermoproteota
Description: partial 16S ribosomal RNA
Rfam family: Archaeal small subunit ribosomal RNA
Source: RNAcentral